GGAAUCUUGGACAAUGGGGGCAACCCUGAUCCAGCGACGCCGCGUGGGUGAUGAAGGCCUUCGGGUUGUAACGCCCUUUCGCCGGGGCCGAUGAUGACGGUACCCGGCGAAGAAGCACCGGCUAACUCCAUGCCAGCAGCCGCGGUAAGACGGAGGGUGCUAGCGUUGUUCGGAAUCACUGGGCGUAAAGGGCGCGUAGGCGGCUCUGGCAGUCGGCUCGUGAAAGCCCGGGGCUCAACCCCGGAGGUGCGGCCGAAACACCAGGGCUGGAGGCCGGAAGAGGAGGGUGGAAUACCCAGUGUAGAGGUGAAAUUCGUAGAUAUUGGGUGGAACACCGGUGGCGAAAGCGGCUCUCUGGUCCGGUUCUGACGCUGAGGCGCGAAAGCGUGGGGAGCAAAC
Molecule: ribosomal RNA, 399 nt
Filed under: uncultured bacterium
Lineage: Bacteria
Description: bacterial SSU rRNA
Rfam family: Bacterial small subunit ribosomal RNA
Source: RNAcentral